This 500-nucleotide ribosomal RNA is filed under the name uncultured bacterium. Its description in RNAcentral is "bacterial SSU rRNA". It matches the Rfam family "Bacterial small subunit ribosomal RNA", at positions 889 to 1388 of the family's 1533-position model. The record is from RNAcentral.
CAAGGUUAAAACUCAAAGGAAUUGACGGGGACCCGCACAAGCGGUGGAUGAUGUGGAUUAAUUCGAUGCAACGCGAAAACCUUACCUACCCUUGACAUGUCCAGAAGCCUGAAGAGAUUUGGGUGUGCCCGAAAAAGGAACUGGAACACAGGUGCUGCAUGGCUGUCGUCAGCUCGUGUCGUGAGAUGUUGGGUUAAGUCCCGCAACGAGCGCAACCCUUGUCGUUAAUUGCCAUCAUUCAGUUGGGCACUUUAACGAGACUGCCGGUGACAAACCGGAGGAAGGUGGGGAUGACGUCAAGUCCUCAUGGCCCUUAUGGGUAGGGCUUCACACGUCAUACAAUGGUCGGUACAGAGGGUUGCCAAGCCGCGAGGUGGAGCCAAUCCCAGAAAGCCGAUCGUAGUCCGGAUCGCAGGCUGCAACUCGCCUGCGUGAAGUCGGAAUCGCUAGUAAUCGCGGAUCAGCAUGUCGCGGUGAAUACGUUUCCGGGUCUUGUACAC